GCGCCCAUAGCUCAACUGGAUAGAGCAACAGACUACGAAUCUGUAGGCUGGGGGUUCAAAUCCCUCUGGGCGCGCCA
RNAcentral lists this transfer RNA (77 nucleotides) under Nitrospirae bacterium RBG_19FT_COMBO_42_15. Its description in RNAcentral is "tRNA-Arg". It matches the Rfam family "tRNA". Rfam says of the family: Transfer RNA (tRNA) molecules are approximately 80 nucleotides in length. Lineage: Bacteria; Pseudomonadati; Nitrospirota. The record is from RNAcentral.